Molecule: transfer RNA, 88 nt
Filed under: Gammaproteobacteria bacterium
Lineage: Bacteria; Pseudomonadati; Pseudomonadota; Gammaproteobacteria
Also listed under: 1 other name
Description: tRNA-Ser
Rfam family: tRNA
About the family: Transfer RNA (tRNA) molecules are approximately 80 nucleotides in length. Their secondary structure includes four short double-helical elements and three loops (D, anti-codon, and T loops).
Source: RNAcentral
GGAGAGGUGGCUGAGCGGCCGAAAGCGGCGGUCUUGAAAACCGUUGAUCCGCGAGGAUCCCUGGGUUCGAAUCCCAGCCUCUCCGCCA